AAAACACUAUUGAACGCUAGCGGCAUGCUUUACACAUGCAAGUCGAACGGCAGCGCGGGGCAACCUGGCGGCGAGUGGCGAACGGGUGAGUAAUACAUCGGAACGUGCCCUGUGAUGGGGGAUAACUACGCGAAAGCGUAGCUAAUACCGCAUACGACCUACGGGUGAAAGUGGGGGAUCGCAAGACCUCACGUCAUAGGAGCGGCCGAUGGCGGAUUAGCUAGUUGGUGAGGUAAAGGCUUACCAAGGCGACGAUCCGUAGCUGGUCUGAGAGGACGACCAGCCACACUGGGACUGAGACACGGCCCAG
This 310-nucleotide ribosomal RNA is filed under the name uncultured bacterium. RNAcentral's name for it is "bacterial SSU rRNA". It matches the Rfam family "Bacterial small subunit ribosomal RNA", at positions 30 to 334 of the family's 1533-position model. The record is from RNAcentral.